CUGGAAGGGUUUUUCCUCUAGGGGGGUGCAUUUGGAGAGAAGCAUAAGCGAGUGGGCACAGGAUCAUGAAGCCUCCCCAUGCCCACUCUGCAGCCUGCUCCAGGAAGGCCAUUCUACAUUCAGGGACCCCGGGCCGGAGACUGCAGGCCAAAGAGCUAAGGAGUGGGCCACUCUGGGAUGGAUAUGAGGCACCGGAACCAAACUCAGUGACCAGCAGUCUCCUAAGAGCAGACAUGAAGUGGUGACAGCUUGUAUUUGAUUCUGGGAGAUGUGCACACCAGGGAAAGCCACAGGGAAGAAGAAAAGCUGAAAAGUAACAGAGAAGGCACAGGCACGAGAGUGAGGCCACCGUGGGAAGUGCAGUCACUUAGAACGACUGGGGUGAACAGGACGGGAUCAGCUUCGAGAAGCCAAGAGCUGCUGCUCGACCGUGCAGGACGAAGGUGAGAUGCCGGAGUGGACACACAGAAAACUCCUUGUUAUCAAUGCAGACACACUUCUUCCUGACCCAACACUGCCUGUUGUCAUCUGAGCUUCCAACCUCUAUCCAUGUGCUUUCUCGAAAGGAAAAGUCGGGAUAACCUCACAAAGACACAUACCCAGAGGCCAGAUUACCCCGUUCUUUCUCUUCCGACAUUUCCACAUCUGGUUAUUUAUGGAGUCAUUUACGCGCCUUUGCCUUAGCAGGGGCAAGCCCUAACCACCGGUGACGCCUUCGGUUCCCCUCCACGUGUCCAGUUCUAAGAGAAAAUCACUCAUCACAAUUACACAUGAACUUUCUUGAGGUGAAGAGAGACACACAUUUUUCUGCUUCCCCACCCCCUCCCA
Non-coding RNA from Oryctolagus cuniculus (rabbit), 828 nucleotides. NCBI's taxonomy places the organism in Eukaryota, Metazoa, Chordata, Mammalia, Lagomorpha, Leporidae. The record is from RefSeq and is a predicted model, not a curated record.